Branchiostoma belcheri (Belcher's lancelet) is the source of this 596-nucleotide long non-coding RNA. RefSeq lists it as uncharacterized. The record is from RefSeq and is a predicted model, not a curated record. The transcript has 2 exons. NCBI's taxonomy places the organism in Eukaryota, Metazoa, Chordata, Leptocardii, Amphioxiformes, Branchiostomatidae.
UGGUGUGUAUUUUUCACAGAUCCAUCCACAUCUGCAAUAACAUACCCAGUACCCACAAAACAUCUGAAGUCCGGUAGCACAAUGAUCCUCACGCUGCAGACUGUGCAUCACAGUGACAUAGCUGCACUUGUUGUAGCACAGGAAGACCCACCGGAGAUGAAGGUCCAAGUGUACCAACGCCCCGGAGCCCCAAUCGCCGGGUUGAUGAUGUACGCUAGGUUGGACGGCACGUGGUACCCAUGCGGUUGGAUUCGCGAGAAGAACAAGGACUCUGUCCUUAAUUUGUCAUCGGAAGGGGGCUUAGAAAGCCUGAGCUGUGUCCUACAGGACCGGUACACUAAGAAAGGCUACCAUGUCUUAAAAGUUAGCAUACUUUAGAGCCUUAUCAAAAUGUUUUGACGGCACUACAAUUCACUACAUUACAAUAUUUAAACAGCACUAAAGUUUACUACGUUAUAAUAGUUAAACAUUGGUUGAAAUUUCUAACCACAAGUAAUAAAAUUGUAAAUGUAAUAGAUGUUUAAAAGCUACACACUGCAAUGUAGGUUGUGUGCUGUAUGUACCAGAACAUGCCGUUAAUAAAACAUCUCUUGUCA